RNAcentral lists this transfer RNA (73 nucleotides) under Paramuricea clavata. It matches the Rfam family "tRNA". From Rfam's summary of the family: Transfer RNA (tRNA) molecules are approximately 80 nucleotides in length. Their secondary structure includes four short double-helical elements and three loops (D, anti-codon, and T loops). Further hydrogen bonds mediate the characteristic L-shaped molecular structure. tRNAs have two regions of fundamental functional importance: the anti-codon, which is responsible for specific mRNA codon recognition, and the 3' end, to which the tRNAs corresponding amino acid is attached (by aminoacyl-tRNA synthetases). tRNAs cope with the degeneracy of the genetic code in two manners: having more than one tRNA (with a specific anti-codon) for a particular amino acid; and 'wobble' base-pairing, i.e. permitting non-standard base-pairing at the 3rd anti-codon position. Lineage: Eukaryota; Metazoa; Cnidaria; Anthozoa; Malacalcyonacea; Plexauridae. The record is from Rfam by way of RNAcentral.
GACCGCGUAGCUCAGUUGGCAGAGCAUUGGGCUAGUAUUCCAAAAGUCGUAGGUUCGAUUCCCCCCGUGGCCG